Molecule: ribosomal RNA, 576 nt
Filed under: Salmonella enterica
Lineage: Bacteria; Pseudomonadati; Pseudomonadota; Gammaproteobacteria; Enterobacterales; Enterobacteriaceae
Also listed under: 1 other name
Description: partial 23S ribosomal RNA
Rfam family: Bacterial large subunit ribosomal RNA
Source: RNAcentral
AGACCCGAAACCCGGUGAUCUAGCCAUGGGCAGGUUGAAGGUUGGGUAACACUAACUGGAGGACCGAACCGACUAAUGUUGAAAAAUUAGCGGAUGACCUGUGGCUGGGGGUGAAAGGCCAAUCAAACCGGGAGAUAGCUGGUUCUCCCCGAAAGCUAUUUAGGUAGCGCCUCGUGAAUUCAUCUCCGGGGGUAGAGCACUGUUUCGGCUAGGGGGCCAUCCCGGCUUACCAACCCGAUGCAAACUGCGAAUACCGGAGAAUGUUAUCACGGGAGACACACGGCGGGUGCUAACGUCCGUCGUGAAGAGGGAAACAACCCAGACCGCCAGCUAAGGUCCCAAAGUCAUGGUUAAGUGGGAAACGAUGUGGGAAGGCCCAGACAGCCAGGAUGUUGGCUUAGAAGCAGCCAUCAUUUAAAGAAAGCGUAAUAGCUCACUGGUCGAGUCGGCCUGCGCGGAAGAUGUAACGGGGCUAAACCAUGCACCGAAGCUGCGGCAGCGACACUCAGGUGUUGUUGGGUAGGGGAGCGUUCUGUAAGCCUGUGAAGGUGGCCUGUGAGGGUUGCUGGAGGUAUC